Molecule: ribosomal RNA, 503 nt
Filed under: uncultured bacterium
Lineage: Bacteria
Description: partial 16S ribosomal RNA
Rfam family: Bacterial small subunit ribosomal RNA
Source: RNAcentral
AUUGAACGCUGGCGGCAGGCUUAACACAUGCAAGUCGAGCGGGGUGAUGGUGCUUGCACUAUCACUUAGCGGCGGACGGGUGAGUAAUUCAUAGGAAUCUGCCUAUUAGUGGGGGACAACACCUCGAAAGGGAUGCUAAUACCGCAUACGUCCUACGGGAGAAAGCAGGGGAUCACUUGUGACCUUGCGCUAAUAGAUGAGCCUAGGUCGGAUUAGCUAGUUGGUGGGGUAAAGGCCUACCAAGGAGACGGUCUGUAGCGGGUCUGAGAGGAUGAUCCGCCACACUGGGACUGGGACACGGCCCAGACUCCUACGGGAGGCAGCAGUGGGGAAUAUUGGACAAUGGGGGGAACCCUGAAACAGCCAUGCCGCGUGUGUGAAGAAGGCCUUAUGGUUGUAAAGCACUUUAAGCGAGGAGGAGGCUCUUUUGGUUAAUACCCAAGAUGAGUGGACGUUACUCGCAGAAUAAGCACCGGCUAACUCUGUGCCAGCCGCCGCAGUAA